UCUCUCGUGGCGCAAUUGGCUAGCGCGUUCGACUGUUAUAUCCGGUGCACAACCGGGUCGCAGUAGAUCGAGAGGUUGGUGGUUCGAGCCCACCCGAGAGAG
This is a non-coding RNA of Zalaria obscura, 102 nucleotides long. Lineage: Eukaryota; Fungi; Ascomycota; Dothideomycetes; Dothideales; Zalariaceae. The record is from the annotation of a GenBank genome assembly.